GAUAAGUGUCAAAUCUACUUAAUUUUCAUAUCAUUCUUGGGCACUUAUUAGGGUUAGAAAUGUGAAAUAACUAUCAAAUUUACCCUCAAUUGUGAUGAUAUGGUUUACUAGAGGUCCUUGUAGAAUUUAAGUGUUAGUUAUCAAAUUUUGAUGUAGGAAUGAAUUGGGAAUGAAGAUUUGCUUCAAAGAGGCUUGAAUCAUAAGAAAGCAUCAAAGAAUAGUGCUUGGCUCAGAAGUUUGCUCAAGCCAUCUUGCAACAGAAGGUAUUGAAUGCUUGGCUCAGAAGUUUGCUCAAGCCAUCUAGCAACAGAAGGUUUUAAGUGUUUGGCUCUGAAGUUGGCUCAAGCGAAUAUUUGGUCGCUUGAGCGGUUGAAAGGCGGUUCCCAGUUCUUCCUUCACGUUAAAGAAAGAGUUCGCUUGAGCGAACUUUGGACCGCUUGAGCGAACAAAGCUGUUAUAAAAAGAACCCACCAUCGUAUUUUACAGGGACAGCGGAAAAAUUAGGGAAAAAGACUACAGAACUCGUAGAACAAAGGUGAAGAAGAUAGUUUGGACCUCUUUGAUCAUCCAUCGACGUGGGAACGCUCGGCGGACAUCACGGAUCGUCAUCAUCUUCUUGUUUCUCUUUGUAAGCCUUAAAGCAUCCAUGGAAAUGGAUUGCUAAACCCUUUGUGUUGGGAUUGGAUGUAGUCUUUUAACUUGAAUGUAUUGACUUUGAUUUCCAUGUAUAAAUUCAUGUUUCUAUGUGAUGAUUUCAAUGAUCUAUCUUGAUCUUAAUGCUAGUUUUAGAGUGAUCAACUAGAACUUGAUGUUAGAUUUGAUAAAUUGGUGGAAACUACUUCAUUGAAUCUGAAAUAGAUGAGAUCAUCUAUUGAAUCUAAGGCCUAGGAAUAGGGUUAGCUCAAUAGUCAUAUAACACCUAAGUUUAAUGCUACUUGCUUGCUUAAUUAUUCAAGGAAUUGAUGAUUAGUUAGUAAGUUGUUGAUCUCUUUCAUGAGGGAACUAUGAAAAAGAUAAGAUGUGGUGUGAUGGAAUCGAACAUAGGACAUGGUUUGUUUAUGGAAUCAUAAGAAUACUGAAGAGUUAAUUGAUGAACUCCAAUUCCAACCGUUUUCUCCGCUUGUUUACAAAUCAUUUACUAUUGCUUUCUUUUAAUUUUGCAACGCAGCACAAAACAAUCAACUAAACGUUUCUUGACUCUUUGCUUAAGUGAUUUAGCUAGAGAACGGCAUUGUAUUCCAAUUCCCU
This 1248-nucleotide long non-coding RNA is filed under the name Lotus japonicus. RNAcentral describes it as "long non-coding RNA (LJAP_LNC000055)". Lineage: Eukaryota; Viridiplantae; Streptophyta; Magnoliopsida; Fabales; Fabaceae. The record is from RNAcentral.